AAAUAGUUUAUUUAUAAAGAAAAUGAAUAAAAGUCAAUUAAUUUAUGCUAUAAAAUCAUAUUAAAACAGCAUUACACUGUAUAAACAUAAAUUGUAAAAUGUUAAGAACAAAAUAUCAAAAUGAUAACCCCAAUUUUAAAAAUGUUAGGCACAAUAUAUUAAAAUGUUAAACACAAUAUAUUAAAAUAAAAUGCUUCAUAUCUGUUUUUACCACAAUAUCCAUAUUUAAAAAAAAAACCUUUCCUUCACAUAUUGAAUCAGAUAUUAUGACCCGCCCAAGAGAAAUAAAGUGUUCAGUAAAAACAUCUGUAGGUACCCCCAAAAAAGGGAAUUAGCAACCUCAAACUGGUCCGGGCAAGAUACCAUAUCUUUCUUUUUUUUUGCCAGGCGAUAUCCUUUUUCAGACUUUUGG
This 412-nucleotide long non-coding RNA is filed under the name Mytilus galloprovincialis (Mediterranean mussel). The record is from RNAcentral. Lineage: Eukaryota; Metazoa; Mollusca; Bivalvia; Mytilida; Mytilidae.